UGAGAAGGCGCAUUGCAAAUUAACUGCGUUGCUGCUGUGUGACAAAUCUAUGUGAUUUACAAUGGGCGCGUGUCCGGCACGCUGCUCCCAGAGCAAGGUCGCAGCAAAGGAAGAGGAAUUGAACGACUCCUUGCAAGGUUAAUUUGCAUGCCCGGGGCAGUCGAGUGCGACCUGAAUGAGCUUUGCCUCUUGUUAAAAGUGCUGCCAGUCGCAUUUGCUCCUCGGACCACUGCAGACACAAUGAGAUACCAUCUGUGCGCCACCGUGCUGCUGCUUGCAAUUUUCGUCAUGGCCUUCCAGACGGUGAGCGGACAGGAGCCCACGGAGGAGCCAGACCACGAUUUGCAAGUGCUGAUGCGAGCCAUGCGAAUCUACGAGCCUUUGUGCCCAAGAGGACAGUAUAUCAUCCGAGGUGAAUGCAAGUACCCUUUGAUAGGAUGAACAGUUAUUUCUUGUCUCCCGCACCCUUAUUGAAACGCAGCGUUAUAAAAACUAAUUAUGGCGCCUUUCUUUGCAUCGAGAUGUAUUUAAAGUUCCUAUUAUAUCGAAUAAAUUUUUUACAUUCCUU
Neocloeon triangulifer is the source of this 568-nucleotide long non-coding RNA. RefSeq lists it as uncharacterized. The transcript has 2 exons. NCBI's taxonomy places the organism in Eukaryota, Metazoa, Arthropoda, Insecta, Ephemeroptera, Baetidae. The record is from RefSeq and is a predicted model, not a curated record.